UACGUAGGGUGCAAGCGUUAAUCGGAAUUACUGGGCGUAAAGCGUGCGCAGGCGGUGAUGUGAGACAGUUGUGAAAUCCCCGGGCUCAACCCGGGAACUGCGUCCGAUACUGGCAGGCUUGAAUCCGGGAGAGGGAUGUGGAAUUCCAGGUGUAGCGGUGAAAUGCGUAGAUAUCUGGAGGAACACCGGUGGCGAAGGCGGCAUCCUGGACCGGCAUUGACGCUGAGGCGCGAAAGCCAGGGGAGCAAACGGG
RNAcentral lists this ribosomal RNA (253 nucleotides) under uncultured bacterium. Its description in RNAcentral is "partial 16S ribosomal RNA". It matches the Rfam family "Bacterial small subunit ribosomal RNA", at positions 524 to 776 of the family's 1533-position model. The record is from RNAcentral.